Molecule: ribosomal RNA, 434 nt
Filed under: uncultured bacterium
Lineage: Bacteria
Description: partial 16S ribosomal RNA
Rfam family: Bacterial small subunit ribosomal RNA
Source: RNAcentral
AGCGAACGCUGGCGGCAGGCCUAACACAUGCAAGUCGAACGAACCUUUCGGGGUUAGUGGCGGACGGGUGAGUAACACGUGGGAACGUGCCUUUAGGUUCGGAAUAACUCAGGGAAACUUGUGCUAAUACCGAAUGUGCCCUUCGGGGGAAAGAUUUAUCGCCUUUAGAGCGGCCCGCGUCUGAUUAGCUAGUUGGUUGAGGUAAUGGCUCACCAAGGCGACGAUCAGUAGCUGGUCUGAGAGGAUGAUCAGCCACAUUGGGACUGAGACACGGCCCAAACUCCUACGGUAAGCAGCAGUGGGGAAUCUUGCGCAAUGGGCGAAAGCCUGACGCAGCCAUGCCGCGUGAAUGAUGAAGGUCUUAGGAUUGUAAAAUUCUUUCACCGGGGACGAUAAUGACGGUACCCGGAGAAGAAGCCCCGGCUAACUUCGUG